AAUAUAUGAUCUACUGCUUUUGCUUUCAUGUUUGAUUGCUUGGUUUGCCUUGAUCAGUCAGCUUGCGGUCAUGGUCCACGCCGCUCUGUGUAUGUGUGACUGUUUUGGUGCUGCUGGCUGGCAAUCGCUCUCUUUUAGUGCUCUGUGUUCCUCCCCUCUGCACUCAUACGUUUCCUUCCUUAUUUCCUUUUUCUCCAGAGUGCGGCUCCGCUGAUUGGCCGGUGUCAUCAUAUGACACGGCUGCUUCAGCGCUAAGGAGUGUGGGAAUUGUAGGCAUCUCAGCGACCAUGUGACCUCUGAGAUCCAAUCGCGAUGCACCCGCCUCCCCAACAGGCUAUAUAUAGCAUGAUAUGAUCAUUAUCUGUCUGCUACCAACAGGGUACUGACAGAUGUCUUUAUUCCUCUUAAAGAUAGGAGAUUAUCUGUGGACUUUUCAGCUGCAAUUGACUGGUCCUUGAUUUUUGCUGCAAACGACUAUCCUUUGACUUUCUAUCACCAGCUGAUGUUUGCUUGCAUUUAGACUGUUCAUCUAGUUAAAUACUCCAUAUGAAUUGAGGCUCUUCAGUGCCCAUGUUAUUGUCUUACUUAAUUCCCCUGUAUUCACCUUGAUUUUAUUACGCUUCAAGUCCUGUCAGUUGAACUUGGAUUUCAAUAUCCACCCUGAGGGGGUUUUUCCUUGACUGGCUGUGCAUGAAGCUAGGGUAGGUUUUAUUUCUCCUACCUAUGGAAUUUUGCUGCCAGCCCCCUCUCAUGGGCUGAACAGCAUUGGCUGCUACCAGGCUGUGGAUAUAUGCGCAUUUGCUCCUAUGAACUUUGGUUUCUCUUGCCCCGCCAGAGAUCCCAGCCAAACUUUUGUUUGUACUCUAUAUACAUGACAUGUUUUGUUGAACAUAUAUAAUCAAAGUUCUUUUAGAG
Long non-coding RNA from Rana temporaria (common frog), 915 nucleotides. RefSeq lists it as uncharacterized. NCBI's taxonomy places the organism in Eukaryota, Metazoa, Chordata, Amphibia, Anura, Ranidae. The transcript is spliced from 4 exons. The record is from RefSeq and is a predicted model, not a curated record.